Molecule: ribosomal RNA, 435 nt
Filed under: uncultured bacterium
Lineage: Bacteria
Description: partial 16S ribosomal RNA
Rfam family: Bacterial small subunit ribosomal RNA
Source: RNAcentral
GAUGAACGCUGGCGGUAUGCUUAACACAUGCAAGUCGAACGGACUCUUCGGAGUUAGUGGCGGACGGGUGAGUAACGCGUGAGAAUCUGGCUUUGGGUUCGGGACAACCACUGGAAACGGUGGCUAAUACCGGAUGUGCCGAGAGGUAAAAGAGAAAUUGCCUGAAGAUGAGCUCGCGUCUGAUUAGCUAGUUGGUGAGGUAAAGGCUCACCAAGGCAGCGAUCAGUAGCUGGUCUGAGAGGAUGACCAGCCACACUGGGACUGAGACACGGCCCAGACUCCUACGGGAGGCAGCAGUGGGGAAUUUUCCGCAAUGGGCGAAAGCCUGACGGAGCAAUACCGCGUGAGGGAAGAAGGCCCUUGGGCUGUAAACCUCUUUUCUUAGGGAAGAACAAAAUGACGGUACCUAAGGAAUCAGCAUCGGCUAACUCCGUG